GAUAUAAAAGUAAAAAAAAAAAAAUUGUAUUACACAAGUGAGUUGAUAUUUGAAAAAAAAAAAAAAUACUUGGAGUAUUUCCUGGAAAAUCAACUUGUCCAGUGUUCAUGUGCCCAGUAAGGAGUAUCUUAACUAGGAGGUGAACGUACCGGCAAUUAAAAAUGUUGAUAAGAGCAGUGGCGGCCGUAUGGGUCGCCGUACUCUUGUGCCAUCUCCCACAAACAAAAUCUCAGGUUCCAAACAACGUCUUCACAUGUCCAAAUGGAUGGGAAUUGAAAAGCA
Molecule: long non-coding RNA, 282 nt
Organism: Aphidius gifuensis
Lineage: Eukaryota; Metazoa; Arthropoda; Insecta; Hymenoptera; Braconidae
Exons: 4
Source: RefSeq, a predicted model, not a curated record